UGUUAAGGAGGUGUUGUGCUUAUGAGAUACUAUUACCAUAAAUAGCAACAUUGAAUGAAGUAGCUUCAAUUAUAUCUGCAUGCCUAUGAUUUAUGUAGGAUUAGAUUACUUUAUGAACAUUAUGAAGUGCUCUACAAAUGUGUUCAGGUUCAGACGAUACAGUCUUAAAGACAGACAGACAGUGAUUCCUAUAUAUAUCCUAUGCACCAACCCUCUCUUAAACUAAAUUAAAACAAUCCAGCGGAGACUUGGCAAACAAUUUGUGCUUACCUAAAAAAACAAAUUGUUUACUUAGGUUGCAAUUGCUGUCUGUUAGAGACUUCCAUUCAAGAAAAAAAAAUCAUAAACAAUAAGUUACAAGCAAAAAAUGAUAAUUCCAC
RNAcentral lists this long non-coding RNA (380 nucleotides) under Mytilus galloprovincialis (Mediterranean mussel). Lineage: Eukaryota; Metazoa; Mollusca; Bivalvia; Mytilida; Mytilidae. The record is from RNAcentral.